AACGAACGCUGGCGGCAGGCUUAACACAUGCAAGUCGAACGCAUCCUUCGGGGUGAGUGGCAGACGGGUGAGUAACGCGUGGGAACGUGCCCUUCAGUUCGGGAUAACCCAGGGAAACUUGGGCUAAUACCGGAUACGUGCGAGAGCAGAAAGAUUUAUCGCUGAAGGAUCGGCCCGCGUCUGAUUAGCUAGUUGGUGGGGUAAUGGCCCACCAAGGCGACGAUCAGUAGCUGGUCUGAGAGGAUGAUCAGCCACAUUGGGACUGAGACACGGCCCAAACUCCUACGGGAGGCAGCAGUGGGGAAUAUUGGACAACGGGCGCAAGCCUGAUCCAGCCUUGCCGCGUGAGUGAUGAAGGCCUUAGGGUUGUAAAGCUCUUUCGUCCGGGACGAUAAUGACGGUACCGGAAGAAGAAGCCCCGGCUAACUUCGUGCCAGCAGCCGCCGUAA
Molecule: ribosomal RNA, 449 nt
Filed under: uncultured bacterium
Lineage: Bacteria
Description: partial 16S ribosomal RNA
Rfam family: Bacterial small subunit ribosomal RNA
Source: RNAcentral